This 409-nucleotide ribosomal RNA is filed under the name uncultured bacterium. RNAcentral describes it as "bacterial SSU rRNA". It matches the Rfam family "Bacterial small subunit ribosomal RNA", at positions 350 to 751 of the family's 1533-position model. The record is from RNAcentral.
AGCAGUGGGGAAUUUUGGACAAUGGGCGCAAGCCUGAUCCAGCAAUGCCGCGUGAGUGAAGAAGGCCUUCGGGUUGUAAAGCUCUUUUGUCAGGGAAGAAACGGUGAGGGCUAAUAUCCCUUGCUAAUGACGGUACCUGAAGAAUAAGCACCGGCUAACUACGUGCCAGCAGCCGCGGUAAUACAUAGGGUGCAAGCGUUAAUCGGAAUUACUGGGCGUAAAGCGUGCGCGGGCGGUUUUGUAAGUUGUCGUGAAAGCCCCGGGCUCUUCCUGGGAAUUGCGAUGAGGACUGCGAGGCUUGAGUCUGGCAGAGGGGGGUAUAAUUCUACGUGUAGCAGUGAGAUGCGUAGAGAUGUGGAGGAACACCGAUGGCGAAGGCAGCCCCCUUGGGUCAUGAUUGACGCUCAUG